GCUUGUCUCAAAGAUUAAGCCAUGCAUGUCUAAGUAUAAACUGCUUAUACUGUGAAACUGCGAAUGGCUCAUUAAAUCAGUUAUAGUUUAUUUGAUGGUACCUACUACUCGGAUAACCGUAGUAAUUCUAGAGCUAAUACAUGCUGGCGUGCCCGACUUUUGUGGAAGGGCGGUAUUUAUUAGAUAACAAGCCAAUAUUCCUCACGGUCUAUUGUGGUGACUCAUAAUAACUGAUCGAAUCGCAAGGCCCUUGGCCGCGAUAAGUCAUUCAAGUUUCUGCCCCAUCAGCUUUCGAUGGUAGUGUAUUGGACUACCAUGGCGUUCACGGGUAACGGAGAAUUAGGGUUCGAUUCCGGAGAGGGAGCCUGAGAAACGGCUACCACAUCUAAGGAAGGCAGCAGG
Molecule: ribosomal RNA, 402 nt
Filed under: uncultured Strombidiidae
Lineage: Eukaryota; Ciliophora; Spirotrichea; Strombidiidae
Description: partial small subunit ribosomal RNA
Rfam family: Eukaryotic small subunit ribosomal RNA
Source: RNAcentral